ACUCAUACAUGUCACAAUUAUUUCAGUUUCUAGAAAAUAUAAUUUUAGGCCAACUUGGGAAAACUAUAUACACAUCAGCAAAAGUAAAAUUUCAUUUUUGAAGUAUUUUAUUUAAGAAAUUAAUCUAUGUUUGUAUAUUUCAUAAAAUAAUACCUUAUUAUUCAGAAAUUAGUAUAUAAGAGGGAGAAAGGGAAGAAGAGAGAAACAUGCUUGAAGCUUCUCUAGUUUCAUAGGUCCUUUCAAAGCAAAACCAUUUUCAACUCACAAAAGUAGAAGCCAUGGCUGCAUCUUUCUCUGUCCCCUCUAUGAUAAUGGAAGAAGAAGGGAGAUUCGAGGCGGAAGUUGCGGAAGUGCAGACUUGGUGGAACUCAGAGAGGUUCAAGCUAACAAGGCGUCCUUACACAGCCCGUGACGUGGUGGCUCUACGUGGCCAUCUCAAGCAAGGUUAUGCUUCGAACGAGAUGGCUAAGAAACUGUGGAGAACACUCAAGAGCCACCAAGCCAACGGCACGGCGUCUCGCACGUUCGGUGCUUUGGACCCUGUUCAGGUGACCAUGAUGGCUAAACAUUUAGACACCAUUUAUGUCUCUGGUUGGCAGUGCUCGUCUACUCACACCACCACGAACGAGCCUGGUCCAGAUCUUGCUGACUAUCCGUACGAUACCGUUCCUAACAAGGUCGAACAUCUCUUCUUCGCUCAGCAGUACCAUGACAGAAAGCAGAGGGAGGAGAGAAUGAGCAUGAGCAGAGAAGAAAGAACAAAAACUCCUUUUGUGGACUACCUGAAGCCCAUCAUCGCCGACGGAGACACCGGCUUUGGCGGUACCACUGCCACCGUAAAACUCUGCAAACUCUUCGUUGAAAGAGGAGCCGCUGGGGUCCAGACCAGUCCUCCGUUACCAAGAAGUGUGGCCACAUGGCCGGAAAAGUCCUCGUGGCAGUCAGUGAACACAUCAACCGCCUUGUUGCGGCUCGGCUCCAGUUCGACGUGAUGGGCACAGAGACCGUCCUGGUCGCUAGAACGGACGCGGUCGCGGCCACUCUGAUCCAGUCGAACAUUGACUCGAGGGACCACCCGUUCAUCCUCGGUGUCACUAACCCAAACCUUAGAGGCAAGAGUUUGUCCUCGCUUCUCGCAGAGGGAAUGGCUGUAGGCAAGAACGGCCCGGCGUUGCAAGCGAUUGAGGAUCAAUGGCUUAGCUCGGCCUGUCUAAUGACUUUCUCGGACGCUGUCGUGGAGGCUCUCAAGCGCAUGAACCUCAAUGAAAAUGAGAAGAGCCGGAGAGUGAACGAGUGGCUAAGCCAUGCAAGGUAUGAGAACUGCCUGUCAAACGAGCAAGGCCGAGAAUUAGCCGCAAAACUCGGUGUGACGGAUCUUUUCUGGGACUGGGACUUGCCCAGAACCCGAGAAGGAUUCUACCGGUUCCAAGGCUCAGUCACAGCGGCCGUGGUCCGUGGCUGGGCCUUUGCACAGAUUGCUGACUUAAUCUGGAUGGAAACCGCAAGCCCCGACCUCAACGAAUGCACCCAAUUCGCAGAAGGAGUCAAGUCCAAGACACCAGAUGUCAUGCUUGCUUACAACCUCUCACCGUCAUUCAACUGGGACGCUUCCGGUAUGACUGAUCAGCAGAUGAUGGAGUUCAUUCCACGGAUCGCUAGGCUCGGUUAUUGCUGGCAGUUCAUAACUCUUGCGGGUUUCCAUGCUGAUGCUCUUGUGGUCGAUACAUUUGCAAAGGAUUACGCGAGGCGAGGGAUGCUGGCUUAUGUGGAGAGGAUACAGAGAGAAGAGAGGAGCAAUGGGGUUGACACAUUGGCUCAUCAGAAAUGGUCAGGUGCUAAUUACUAUGAUCGUUAUCUUAAGACUGUACAAGGUGGAAUCUCCUCCACUGCAGCCAUGGGCAAAGGUGUUACUGAGGAACAGUUCAAAGAGAGUUGGACGAGGCCGGGAGCUGCUGGAAUGGGCGAAGGGACUAGCCUUGUGGUAGCCAAGUCCAGAAUGUAAGUGUACGGCCAAAGCGGUUUGGCAUCUUCGCAGGGAAACAACUUGGAAACUACACCAUCUUUAAUAUAUCUUUGGACACCUGAGUAAGAAAAGAAAAAGAAAAAGAAUAAGAAAAAACAGAUAAUAAAUGUAUAUUUUGUUAUUGUGUUCCCUUCUUCUACGUUUGCUUCUUUGUAUGGAUAUUUGGACUGUUUUGGCACUCGAAAGGUGCACAAUAGUCAAUACCAAUAUGGGACCAUCCGUUCG
Brassica napus (rape) is the source of this 2248-nucleotide RNA transcript. It is a transcript of the gene named isocitrate lyase-like, with no coding region annotated. Lineage: Eukaryota; Viridiplantae; Streptophyta; Magnoliopsida; Brassicales; Brassicaceae. The record is from RefSeq and is a predicted model, not a curated record. The transcript is spliced from 5 exons.